Molecule: ribosomal RNA, 911 nt
Filed under: Bacillus sp. (in: firmicutes)
Lineage: Bacteria; Bacillati; Bacillota; Bacilli; Caryophanales; Bacillaceae
Description: bacterial SSU rRNA
Rfam family: Bacterial small subunit ribosomal RNA
Source: RNAcentral
AUGGGAGCUUGCUCCCAUUUCUCAGCGGCGGACGGGUGAGUAACACGUGGGCAACCUGCCCUACAGACUGGGAUAACUCCGGGAAACCGGAGCUAAUACCGGGUAAUACAUAGCAUCGCAUGAUGCAACGUUGAAAGUUGGCCUUUGGCUAACACUGUAGGAUGGGCCCGCGGCGCAUUAGCUAGUUGGUAAGGUAACGGCUUACCAAGGCCACGAUGCGUAGCCGACCUGAGAGGGUGAUCGGCCACACUGGGACUGAGACACGGCCCAGACUCCUACGGGAGGCAGCAGUAGGGAAUCUUCCGCAAUGGACGAAAGUCUGACGGAGCAACGCCGCGUGAGUGACGAAGGCCUUCGGGUCGUAAAGCUCUGUUGUUAGGGAAGAACAAGUACCGUUCGAAUAGGGCGGUACCUUGACGGUACCUAACCAGAAAGCCACGGCUAACUACGUGCCAGCAGCCGCGGUAAUACGUAGGUGGCAAGCGUUGUCCGGAAUUAUUGGGCGUAAAGCGCGCGCAGGCGGUCUCUUAAGUCUGAUGUGAAAGCCCACGGCUCAACCGUGGAGGGCCAUUGGAAACUGGGGGACUUGAGUGCAGAAGAGGAGAGUGGAAUUCCACGUGUAGCGGUGAAAUGCGUAGAUAUGUGGAGGAACACCAGUGGCGAAGGCGGCUCUCUGGUCUGUAACUGACGCUGAGGCGCGAAAGCGUGGGGAGCGAACAGGAUUAGAUACCCUGGUAGUCCACGCCGUAAACGAUGAGUGCUAGGUGGUUGGGGGGGUUCCACCCUCAGUGCUGAAGUUAACACAUUAAGCACUCCGCCUGGGGGAGUACGAACCGCAAGGUUGAAACUCAAAGGAAUUGACGGGGGGCCCGCACAAGCAGUGGAGCAUGUGGUUUAAUUCGAAGCAACGC